This is a long non-coding RNA of Girardinichthys multiradiatus, 643 nucleotides long. RefSeq lists it as uncharacterized. The record is from RefSeq and is a predicted model, not a curated record. Lineage: Eukaryota; Metazoa; Chordata; Actinopteri; Cyprinodontiformes; Goodeidae. The transcript has 3 exons.
AGAGCUUCCCUGAUCCAGGUAUUUGAAUAACAUACAGCUGUCUCCGUGUGAUUUAUUAUAAUGUCUUGUGAAUUCUUUCAGCUUAGGUGAAUAAACGAACACGCAGAACACCCCUUGGGAGGGUGCUUCAACAAUUGGUGAUCCUCCGACGUGAUUCACGGCUGACUUAGGGAAUUUGGACAAAGAGAGAGUGUGACAGAUGAACCUCUGACAUCCAGGGCGCCCACAUGUCAUCAAAAGCCAGUUGCAGAGGAAUAUGCUGACAUCUACUGGACACUGUUGACCGAACCUCCAAGCAGCAUCUUCUCAGUGUGUCAGGUGUGGAAACCCUGGAUUCAAAGUCUCUGCCGCUGCACAUCUCCGCCUGACCCUCCCCAUGUCACUCUGUUCUAUGACCGUUGUCACACUGAAUGGUACCAGAUUUGUUUAAUGAAACAGUAGAAGAGUUCUCAAAACAGGUUCCAGAGAAACCAACCGAGGGACCUCAGACAACCACGUCCGAAGCUGAGUGGAUCCUGCUGAAAGUCAUCAAAAGGAAGUGGUCAGAGCCCAGGUGGACGGGUCCAUUCCAGGUCACAGAGAGAACCUCACAUGCGGUGAGGGUCAAGGGCAAAGGAGACAUGUGGUAUCAUUGGAGCCAGUG